GGAGUGACACUUCCUAGAGGAAACAAAUAUUCAGUUGUUAAACGGUAGUUGCUCAUGAGUGUCCUUUGUCAUCAUGUAAGUUUAAAAAGAAAAAAAAUUGAAUUCAAGUGCUCUUUACCAAGUUUGCUAUAAAAUCUGGAUGAUUGUGCACUGCCAGAUACAGCUAAUUCUAACUUUUGUGCAACUGCACAUGAGUGUCGGGGUGGAGGAAGGCCCUGCAAAAUUUCUAGGCAUUUUAAGUCCUUAGAAUAAAGGUAGCGUAAAGAGAUCCCUGAAGUGUCUUAACAUCCAAUGUAGUCAGAGAUAAAUAUUGCAACUGUAAAUUGAUGCAAGAAAAUGUGUUGUAAGUGAAAAUGUAUGUCUUCAUUUGAGCUCUUCUUUGGUAAAUAGCAAUACAGUAAAAGCUAGAUUGAAAAAAUAUAGAAGACAGCAUAACAGAGCUUUCCAAGAUCCGAAGCAAGGCAAUAAAAGAAAGCGUCACCCACUUCAUUCUACCUAAAAUACUUAAAAGAAAACAAAAUAGUUUUUUCCAUAUUUUCCCAUCUGAAAAGGAAAAUAUCAAUGCAAUUAGUCUUUGAUUAUUUCCUCAUAUAAUCAAAAAUUCGUUGUUGUUCUUAAGAGCCCUAUCUCUGACAGUCACUGAGAGAAUGUGCCCCUGGGAAUUUUAUCUGAAGGACUUAUGGAAGUUUUUUUUUUGUCAGAAUAAUCUUCUCUGAUUAACUGCAAAAUUGUAUUUAUCUCUUUUCUUAGCUCAAUGAGUCACUUGUUCUUAACAAGACCACAACAUACCAUGUCAUGCCUAAAUUAAGUUCAAUUUGAUUAAUUGAAAUGUAAUGAUUCUUUUUAAUUUUUUCCAAUUAGGAAAAUAAUUUUAGAAAUUAUUCCAAAGUUCAGAAUGUUUCUAUGUGUAGCUGCAAACAAAUGUCAUGAGAGGUCUUAACUAAUAGAAACCAAGUUUCUAACUGUAAAUUUGUUGGGAAGACUGAAAUUAUAUUUGGAGGCACUAAUUAGACCUAAAUUACCGUUUUAAAUAUUUUCAAUGUUUUGGAAUAGUGAAACGUGAUUUUAAUGCUAAGGACAUUACCUAAAUGUUUACUAAAAGUGUUUCAGUUGAAAAUAAUUUUCAUUUUGAAAUAAAAAUAUGAUUUACUGAUAGAACACUUUAGAACCUUAAAUGUUUCUGUCAGUUAAGCCUCCCAUGUGUCAGUUAAGGCCCUGGAUGAUAUGUUGCAAAAGCACUUAAAUAUUCUUGGUGGUGACAAUUUUUAAUCAUGGGUUGUUUGUGAUAAAACAUUUCUCUAAUCCCAACCAAGGAGUUGAAGUUAUUUUCUGAGUAAUGAGUCUUUAAGCCUCUCUCUGUGUAAUUGAGAUACUUUAGAAUUUGGAGUUCCUAGCCUAGAACCAAUUAUUCAGUUCAGCUUUGAAUUUUGUGACUCAUUGCCCAUAACCAUAAAGGCAUUAGUAAUAUGGCUUAAAUACUAGAGGGGCAUAGAGAUUCCAGGAGAUCACACUGUUCCUUGAAUCCAUCGCUCCGAGGGCCAUUUGAAGCAAAGGUAAUUGAAAAGACACAGCACAGGUUUGGACUGAUUUUAUUGCACUAGGGAAAAGAAUGUAAGAUAGUCUUGUCUUGGGUGAUUUAGUGAUUUCUAGUAGGUCCACUUAUCAAAGGAAGAAAGAAAUUCAAGGAUUUAAAUUCAGAAGAAAGAAAAAUACAAAGAAAGAACAUGAAAAAGAAAGGAAAGGGGGAUAAGUUGCCUAAAUUCAGGCAAAGUAAAAUAGCCUGAAGAUAAAUCAGAGCUGGGUUUCAAAUAUACAUAAAAUAAUUGAAGACUGACAUAUAUAAAAAGAAAUAACUUGCUUCAGAUGCUGGGGACAAGUCUUUAUAAGAACAUGAUGAAGUUGAUUUUUCUUCCAAAAUCCAAUUCCAGAUUAAUUUGAGUUAAAUGUGAUUUAAGAGCAUAACAAGGUUUGCUUUCAGAAUCAGCUGGCCAGAAAAGACCACACUGAUUUGCUGUAUUGAAUUUACUCAUAUCAUACUUAUUCUCUACCAAUCCAUCAUGCCUUGCAAGAGUUUUUCCAUAUCGUUUCCUUCUUGAGAAAUUAUAAUUGUCAGUAACAGCAUCCAGACCAUGUGAAGGCCUGGUAAGUCUCAUGGGGGUAGAAGCUCAAGGUGGGUUUAUUACAUUAUUUCUUGUAUGCUACACAAGAAACCCUAUUUGAGCCAGCGGCGAUACAUCCCCAAUCAGAA
Long non-coding RNA from Equus asinus (donkey), 2248 nucleotides. Lineage: Eukaryota; Metazoa; Chordata; Mammalia; Perissodactyla; Equidae. The record is from Ensembl.